This is a long non-coding RNA of Carya illinoinensis, 666 nucleotides long. RefSeq lists it as uncharacterized. Lineage: Eukaryota; Viridiplantae; Streptophyta; Magnoliopsida; Fagales; Juglandaceae. The transcript is spliced from 2 exons. The record is from RefSeq and is a predicted model, not a curated record.
CGGCUAAAUAUCCCCCCCCCUCUCUCUCUCUUUCUCUCGUUCAUCUCAGAGUCAAAAUUCAGAAACCCUAGCCGCUGCUCAUCUCGUUCAUUUUUUCUCACCCUCGAUCUCUCUCUCUUCUCACCCUCUCUAUCUUGCAUCGUUAGAUACCUUGGAAUGAGAUGAUGAAAUGGUACGACUUGUGUAGGUUUUGUUCAGGUAAGAUCUGUGCUACGACAUUCAGCUAAAGUCCAGUAACUUCACGUGUACGAGUUCAACAAGCAUGAUCGUGGAAGCCCUGCCUACCUACAAUUUACUAUUAAUAAAUGGUAUUAAUAGUAAGACUGUUUUUAUGUUUUUGAGUGGAGGUUUAUGUAUGGGUUUAGGACAGGAAAGAGCCAUUGUCUUUGGCUGCCAAAGACACGUCUGUCUCUUUGCUAUUUAGAUAUUUUGGCAUUGGCACUAGAUUUUGGUCCUGUUUGGUCGAUUUAUGAGCCAGUGAUGCUAUAUAGUAUAGACUUCUUUGUCAAUAUGUCUAGGGAACAAAAAAGAAAGAAAGAAAGAAAGUAAACAAUAGUACUUAGUCAAUGUGGUUCAUCAUUUGCUUGGGAGAAGAAGUGUCAAUAUCAUUUGUAAUGUAAUAUGUAUAAAUAUCAAAUAAUAUAAUAUGUAGUGAUUGCAUUUUUA